Molecule: ribosomal RNA, 439 nt
Filed under: uncultured bacterium
Lineage: Bacteria
Description: partial 16S ribosomal RNA
Rfam family: Bacterial small subunit ribosomal RNA
Source: RNAcentral
CUACGGGAUGCAGCAGUGGGGAAUAUUGGACAAUGGGCGCAAGCCUGAUCCAGCAAUGCCGCGUGAGUGAAGACGGCCUUAGGGUUGUAAAACUCUUUCGCUAGGGAAGAUAAUGACUGUACCUAGUAAAGAAGUCCCGGCUAACUCCGUGCCAGCAGCCGCGGUAAUACGGAGGGGACUAGCGUUGUUCGGAAUUACUGGGCGUAAGGAGUUCGUAGGCGGACUGACAAGUUAGAGGUGAAAUCCCAGGGCUCAACCCUGGAACUGCCUUUAAAACUGUCAGUCUAGAGACCGGAAGAGGUUAGGGGAAUACCUAGUGUAGAGGUGAAAUUCGUAGAUAUUAGGUGGAACACCAGUGGCGAAGGCGCCUAACUGGUCCGGUACUGACGCUGAGGAACGAAAGCGUGGGGAGCAAACAGGAUUAGAUACCCUUGUAGUC